GCUGGUGUAGCUCAGUGGCAGAGCAGUGGUAUCGUAAACCAUCGACGGUAGUCCGAUUCUACCCACCAGCU
This 71-nucleotide transfer RNA is filed under the name Candidatus Dojkabacteria bacterium. RNAcentral's name for it is "tRNA-Thr". It matches the Rfam family "tRNA". From Rfam's summary of the family: Transfer RNA (tRNA) molecules are approximately 80 nucleotides in length. Their secondary structure includes four short double-helical elements and three loops (D, anti-codon, and T loops). The record is from RNAcentral.